RNAcentral lists this ribosomal RNA (775 nucleotides) under uncultured Neocallimastigales. Its description in RNAcentral is "partial large subunit ribosomal RNA". It matches the Rfam family "Eukaryotic large subunit ribosomal RNA", at positions 24 to 627 of the family's 3401-position model. The record is from RNAcentral. Lineage: Eukaryota; Fungi; Neocallimastigomycota; Neocallimastigomycetes; Neocallimastigales.
UAUCUCUGUAGAGUCUGCAUAUCAAUAAGCGGAGGAAAAGGAACUAACAAGGAUUCCCCUAGUAACGGCGAGUGAAGCGGGAAGAGCUCAAAUUUGAAAUCUUAAAGGGUUUCCCUUUACGAAUUGUAGUUUAAAGAAGUGUUUUCUGUUGAGGUUUUGGUAAAAGUUCUUUGGAAUAGGACAUCAUAGAGGGUGAGAAUCCCGUAUUUGACCUUUACUUUCAACUUUGUGAUACACUUUCAAAGAGUCGGAUUGUUUGGGAAUGCAGGUCCAAAAUGGGUGGUAAAUUUCAUCUAAAGCUAAAUAUUGGCGAGAGACCGAUAGCGAACAAGUACCGUGAGGGAAAGAUGAAAAGAACUUUGAAAAGAGAGUUAAACAGUACGUGAAAUUGUCAAAAGGGAAGCGUUUGACACCAGUGUUGUCUUCUCGAAAAUCAAUUAAAAAAGGCAGGAUUUUGUGUUGUAUUGACUUUAUCAGCUUUCUGCACUCUUUUCUUGUCUUUUUUAAUGCACUUUUCGUUUAACAAGUCAACAUCAAUUUCUUUUGUUGUAAAAGGGUCAUUGGAAGGUGGCUUUCUUUUCGGAGAAAGUGUUUAUAGCCUUUGGCCUCUGCAAUCGGAGAGAUUGAGGUCUGCAGCGUAGAUCCUUCGGGGUUAGAUACAUUUGUGCUAAGUUAUAGCCUUUCAUAGACAACUUGUUGACUAUGAUCAGUCAUGUAGCUUACUCGCUUAUGCUAUUUUACCUACGCUUAGGAUGUUGACGAUCAGCUGAGCGCG